This 213-nucleotide ribosomal RNA is filed under the name uncultured bacterium. RNAcentral's name for it is "partial 16S ribosomal RNA". It matches the Rfam family "Bacterial small subunit ribosomal RNA", at positions 1288 to 1500 of the family's 1533-position model. The record is from RNAcentral.
UCAGUUCGGACUGUAGGCUGCAACUCGCCUACACGAAGUUGGAAUUGCUAGUAAUCGUGGAUCAGCAUGCCACGGUGAAUACGUUCCCGGGUCUUGUACACACCGCCCGUCACACCAUGGGAGCUGGUAACACCCGAAGUCAGUAGUCUAACCGCAAGGAGGACGCUGCCGAAGGUGGGAUUAGCGACUGGGGUGAAGUCGUAACAAGGUAAC